UACAGAGGGUGCAAGCGUUAAUCGGAAUUACUGGGCGUAAAGCGCGCGUAGGUGGUUUGUUAAGUUGGAUGUGAAAGCCCCGGGCUCAACCUUGGAACUGCAUCCAAAACUGGCAAGCUAGAGUACGGUAGAGGGUGGUGGAAUUUCCUGUGUAGCGGUGAAAUGCGUAGAUAUAGGAAGGAACACCAGUGGCGAAGGCGACCACCUGGACUGAUACUGACACUGAGGUGCGAAAGCGUGGGGAGCAAACAGG
Molecule: ribosomal RNA, 253 nt
Filed under: uncultured bacterium
Lineage: Bacteria
Description: partial 16S ribosomal RNA
Rfam family: Bacterial small subunit ribosomal RNA
Source: RNAcentral